UACGGAGGGAGCUAGCGUUGUUCGGAAUUACUGGGCGUAAAGCGCGCGUAGGCGGCUUUGUAAGUUAGAGGUGAAAGCCUGGAGCUCAACUUCAGAAUUGCCUUUAAGACUGCAUCGCUUGAAUCCGGGAGAGGUGAGUGGAAUUCCGAGUGUAGAGGUGAAAUUCGUAGAUAUUCGGAAGAACACCAGUGGCGAAGGCGGCUCACUGGACCGGCAUUGACGCUGAGGUGCGACAGCGUGGGGAGCAAACAGG
This 253-nucleotide ribosomal RNA is filed under the name uncultured bacterium. RNAcentral describes it as "partial 16S ribosomal RNA". It matches the Rfam family "Bacterial small subunit ribosomal RNA", at positions 524 to 776 of the family's 1533-position model. The record is from RNAcentral.